GCUCUGUUGUUAGGGAAGAACAAGUGCGAGAGUAACUGCUCGCACCAUGACGGUACCUAACCAGAAAGCCACGGCUAACUACGUGCCAGCAGCCGCGGUAAUACGUAGGUGGCAAGCGUUGUCCGGAAUUAUUGGGCGUAAAGGGCUCGCAGGCGGUUUCUUAAGUCUGAUGUGAAAGCCCCCGGCUCAACCGGGGAGGGUCAUUGGAAACUGGGAAACUUGAGUGCAGAAGAGGAGAGUGGAAUUCCACGUGUAGCGGUGAAAUGCGUAGAGAUGUGGAGGAACACCAGUGGCGAAGGCGACUCUCUGGUCUGUAACUGACGCUGAGGAGCGAAAGCGUGGGGAGCGAACAGGAUUAGAUACCCUGGUAGUCCACGCCGUAAACGAUGAGUGCUAAGUGUUAGGGGGUUUCCGCCCCUUAGUGCUGCAGCUAACGCAUUAAGCACUCCGCCUGGGGAGUACGGUCGCAAGACUGAAACUCAAAGGAAUUGACGGGGGCCCGCACAAGCGGUGGAGCAUGUGGUUUAAUUCGAAGCAACG
This 540-nucleotide ribosomal RNA is filed under the name Bacillus pumilus. RNAcentral describes it as "bacterial SSU rRNA". It matches the Rfam family "Bacterial small subunit ribosomal RNA", at positions 430 to 961 of the family's 1533-position model. Lineage: Bacteria; Bacillati; Bacillota; Bacilli; Caryophanales; Bacillaceae. The record is from RNAcentral.